UUGCCGGCUGGCUUGUGUUUUACUUGAAAAUCCAACUAGAUUUUACACUAAUUCCUAUACAAGUGUGCUACCGUGAUAAACGAUGAUUUUAUACUUGCUUUUUUUUUUUUUUUUUCAACUACUCUUUCGACGAUCCAAACACAAUAUCUAAAUAUUCUAUGAUAUUUCGAUGUAUAUCGAAAAUGUUGUACAAAGAAUAAGGAUAUUAUUAUAACGGCUUAGUGCAUAUGGAAUGUGAGUAGAAUAAAAAAAGAGUAGAAUAAGCGUAGGAUUAUUUGGCAGAUUGGCAUCGUUUCCUAGUCGAUAAAUAGCAGAGAAAUCUUGUUAAUUCUCGGUCGCAGUGUUAUAAGCUCGUGCUCGAAAUUUGCGAUUAGCAAACGACUAUUGAACGCAUAUAGGCUGGAAGAGUCAGCUGUAAUCAGCGAGCAACGAUCAUGAGUCCGUGACAAGCAAGCGAUAUUACGAUGCGAUAUUACGAUGCGAUAUUACCAUGCGAUAUUACGAUGCCAUAUUACGAUGUAAUCUUAUGACCCCUUUUUCAUCCUCGUAUUUACAAUAUUUGAGAGGAGAAAAAAGAAAGAAAGGAAAGAUUAUAACGCGGUAUACCGCCGAGUUAGAACAGAAUUGCGAGAUUUACGAGAGAAUGGCAAAAAUAUGCUGCUUGUUGUCUCCAAAAUAUUGGUGCAAGCAAAAUUUACAGAGGAGAUUGCAUAGACGGUGCUGCUCGUGUCUACAAAACGGUGCAGCAUCCUUUUUAUUUUACGAUGUGGCUUUUGGGUGCUGCUAUGCUUUACAACUUUGAACGGAUGAAAUAUUGGGGUGCAUUUCAGCUGAAAAUGUCUUCAUAAAUUCGUAGGGGAUAUUUCGAAAUUCGAAAAUGACAUCGAUAGGAUGAUGAUGCCUAGGGCAACUUUAAUACACAAACGCACGAAAGUCGUCCUUUUUAAUCGACUCGCUGGACUGCUAAUUACCCUCGUUAUAUUGAUUAGCUUCGAAUUCAUUUGAUUCAAUAGUACAAGCUUAAUUACCAAGGAAAUGUGCCACAAUCGAAUGGAAUUGUAUCGUUGUGUUGUCAAUAUUGCAACACCGAUCAGACAAAUGUAUUAUAUUAGAAAAUUGUUGCAUUGUAUAAUAGAUGCGCAAUCAGCAAUCAAUUGCAAUGCAUCAAUCGAACAAGAUAAACGUUAUUACCAACUGAAUAUGGCCUUCAAUACCGAAAUAACCAGUUUUCCUCGAAUCCUGGCGGUUCAUUUCGAAAUAAAAACCAAAUUCAAUCGUCGAUAUUUACGAAGUUUCUCUCGCUCAUUGGAAAAAUUGUCUGGAAAAUGUAUGCUGAAAAUUAUUGUUAGUUCUUAUGUAAACGCAUCGAAGAAAACGAUACACUCAAGUAUGUAUGUACAAUUUCAAAGAUAACGAUUGAAAACAUGUUUUUAAGUGACGUUUCGCAGCAUAAUACAAUUUUUUUGUUAUUUAAAUGCUUACAACAACAAAGUGAAACGAAGAGAAAUGCCUCCAAGUUUAGGAGGCUGUAAUAAAAAA
Polistes dominula (European paper wasp) is the source of this 1539-nucleotide long non-coding RNA. Lineage: Eukaryota; Metazoa; Arthropoda; Insecta; Hymenoptera; Vespidae. The record is from RefSeq and is a predicted model, not a curated record.